Molecule: ribosomal RNA, 302 nt
Filed under: uncultured bacterium
Lineage: Bacteria
Description: partial 16S ribosomal RNA
Rfam family: Bacterial small subunit ribosomal RNA
Source: RNAcentral
GCAGUAGCCACGGGAAAACGGAGGGGGCUAGCGUUGUUCGGAAUUACUGGGCGUAAAGCGCACGUAGGCGGCUUGGUAAGUUAGAGGUGAAAGCCUGGAGCUCAACUCCAGAAUUGCCUUUAAGACUGCCGAGCUAGCAGGUGAGAGAGGUAAGUGGAAUUCCGAGUGUAGAGGUGAAAUUCGUAGAUAUUCGGAAGAACACCAGUGGCGAAGGCGGCUUACUGGCUCAUACUGGACGCUGAGGUGCGAAAGCGUGGGGAGCAAACAGGAUUAGAUACCCGUGUAGUCCCUGUCUCUUAUAC